Molecule: ribosomal RNA, 505 nt
Filed under: uncultured bacterium
Lineage: Bacteria
Description: partial 16S ribosomal RNA
Rfam family: Bacterial small subunit ribosomal RNA
Source: RNAcentral
GACGAACGCUGGCGGCGUGCCUAAUACAUGCAAGUAGAACGCACAGUUUAUACCGUAGCUUGCUCCACCAUAGACUGUGAGUUGCGAACGGGUGAGUAACGCGUAGGUAACCUGCCUGGUAGCGGGGGAUAACUAUUGGAAACGAUAGCUAAUACCGCAUAAUAUUGAUUAUUGCAUGAUAAUUAAUUGAAAGGUGCAAUUGCACCACUACCAGAUGGCCCUGCGUUGUAUUAGCUAGUAGGUGAGGUCACGGCUCCCCUAGGCGACGAUGCAUAUCCGACCUGGAAGGGUGAUAGGCCACACUGGGACGGGGACACGGCCCAGACUACUGCGGGAGGGAGCAGUAGGGAAUCUUCGGCAAUGGACGAAAGUCGGAACGAGCAACGCCGCGUGAGUGAAGAAGGUUGUCGGAUCGUAAAGCUCUGUUGUAAGAGAAGAACGGGAGUGAGAGUGGAAAGUUCACACUGUGACGGUAUCUUACCAGAAAGGGACGGCUAACUACGUG